This 96-nucleotide transfer RNA is filed under the name Sphaerodactylus townsendi. RNAcentral describes it as "tRNA-Thr". It matches the Rfam family "tRNA". From Rfam's summary of the family: Transfer RNA (tRNA) molecules are approximately 80 nucleotides in length. Lineage: Eukaryota; Metazoa; Chordata; Lepidosauria; Squamata; Sphaerodactylidae. The record is from RNAcentral.
GGAGGGGUUAUGGCUCAGUGGUAGAGCAUCUACUUUGUAUGCAGAAAGUUCAGUUCCUGACUUCUCCAGUUCCAGGUUCAGUUCCUGACUUCUCCA